CCUACGGGUGGCAGCAGUGGGGAAUAUUGGACAAUGGGCGAAAGCCUGAUCCAGCCAUGCCGCGUGUGUGAAGAAGGCCUUCGGGUUGUAAAGCACUUUCAGUGGGGAAGAAAGCCUUGGGGCUAAUACCCUCGAGGAAGGACAUCACCAACAGAAGAAGCACCGGCUAACUCCGUGCCAGCAGCCGCGGUAAUACGGAGGGUGCGAGCGUUAAUCGGAAUUACUGGGCGUAAAGCGCGCGUAGGCGGUCUGAUAAGCCGGUUGUGAAAGCCCCGGGCUCAACCUGGGAACGGCAUCCGGAACUGUCAGGCUAGAGUGCAGGAGAGGAAGGUAGAAUUCCCGGUGUAGCAGUGAAAUGCGUAGAGAUCGGGAGGAAUACCAGUGGCGAAGGCGGCCUUCUGGACUGACACUGACGCUGAGGUGCGAAAGCGUGGGUAGCAAACAGGAUUAGAUACCCUAGUAGUC
Molecule: ribosomal RNA, 465 nt
Filed under: Vreelandella stevensii
Lineage: Bacteria; Pseudomonadati; Pseudomonadota; Gammaproteobacteria; Oceanospirillales; Halomonadaceae
Description: partial 16S ribosomal RNA
Rfam family: Bacterial small subunit ribosomal RNA
Source: RNAcentral